RNAcentral lists this long non-coding RNA (1414 nucleotides) under Vulpes vulpes (red fox). RNAcentral describes it as "lncRNA (ENSVVUG00000011734.1)". The record is from RNAcentral. Lineage: Eukaryota; Metazoa; Chordata; Mammalia; Carnivora; Canidae.
UAAGAAUCUCUAUCUGAAGGCUACAACUUGUAGAGGGUGUGGAUACAAGCUAAUUGGGGAGAUAUGGAUAGAUUGCUACGUGGUGCUGAAAGUGCUGUUGAAAUUGGAAAUCAUGAAUUUUUAAUUAUGUCAAUGAUCUUACUUAUAUAAAUUUUCUGCUAAGAUCAAACACCUUAACAUGAUGGUUCCUAACUGGAGGUUUUCUUCUGAAUUACAUGGAAGCUCUUUCCUGACCCUUAACUCAGACCUAAUGAUUUAAAAUUUCUACAAGGUCUGCCAUGUGUCUUUUUGCAACUUCCACACGUUUUUCUUUGUUUAUGAUUCACAGAAUCCCUCUUUUGGCAUAGCCUACAAUGAUCCUCAUGACUAGGUGUCUUUCUACCUGUUCAUCUUCACCUCCCAUAUGUCAAUCAUAAAAAAACUUCCUGUUGUGAGGGCCCCUGAUUACAUCAUACUUUCCCAUCAUUUACUACUGACCUUGAAUGGACAACCAACAAGUACCACAUCAUAUCAUAGAGAAGACUUAAUUCUACAACAGUAGUUACAAAGCACAGACCCAUUUCUACAUUCUUUUCUAUAUCUCUCCUUGGNACAGUAGUUACAAAGCACAGACCCAUUUCUACAUUCUUUUCUAUAUCUCUCCUUUCUAUAUCUUUCUAUAUCUUAUAUAUCUUAUAAUAUAUAUCUAUAUUCCUUUCUAUAUCUCUCCAGGGGUCUGGCCUGUAUUAUUCAGAUGUCUUUGUGGGAGGCAGGAGUUCAGAACAUAACACUUGUGAUAGAAGAAACUUCAAUAUAUUGGCAGCUCUGGUACAAGUACAGAUGUACUUGUACUAUGUAUUCUGGAACCAGGGCACCAGUCAAACCAAGGCAAGAGAAGAAAAUCAAGCCAAAUAAAAGCCAAAAAGACUUGACAUCUGUGAAGUUGCAGAGGGGCUUUCAGCAGCCACCUCGAUUCUGCAUGGUGUACAGUCAUAGAGGAGAUAGCAGCGGCACAAAGUACAUAGAAUCCACACAGCAGCACACUGUCGAUUGGAGCAAGAAUGAUCAUCUGACUCAAUCUGAACGGUUAAAGCUUCUCCUCCAGGAACUUGAAAUUUGAACUGAAGAAAUUUUCAUUGCUUUUUGUGACCAGAUUUGUAACAAAUUGAGUUGAAUAUUACUCAGCCUUUAGAAAGGAUGAAUACCCGCCAUUUGCUUCAACGUGGAUGGAACUGAUCCUGGAUGAAGUAAGUCAAUCAGAGGACAAUCAUCAUGUGGUUUCACUCAUAUGACUUUCUAGUUGGACAUUUUAUCUCUUUUCAAUGAAAAUUUGCUUUGGACCUAUGAACCUGCUGAUUUAACAUAUGCAUUUGGCUUAACUUUUAGUAUGGUGGGGAAAAUUUAUUUCUAAACAAAGCAAAAUUUUAAGUUGUCA